RNAcentral lists this ribosomal RNA (492 nucleotides) under uncultured bacterium. Its description in RNAcentral is "partial 16S ribosomal RNA". The stretch from base 61 to 492 matches the Rfam family "Bacterial small subunit ribosomal RNA", at positions 34 to 507 of the family's 1533-position model. The record is from RNAcentral.
GGGGGGGGGGGGGGGGGGGGCGGGGGGGGGGGGGGCGGGCGGCCGCCGGGGGGGGGGGGGCGCGGGCGGGGGGCGGGGGGCGGGCGGGGGCGGAGGGCAUCGGAACCUGCUGUGCCGUGGGGGCCGACGUGGGGCCACCGCGGCUAACAGCGCUUACGCCCUCACGGGGGACGCCGGGCCUCCUCGCACCUGGCGCGACCCAGUGCUCGGAUGUCGGAUUAGCUAGUUGGCGGGGUAAAGGCCCACCAAGGCGACGAUCCGUAGCUGGUCUGAGAGGAUGAUCAGCCACACUGGAACUGAGACACGGUCCAGACUCCUACGGGAGGCAGCAGUGGGGAAUAUUGGACAAUGGGCGCAAGCCUGAUCCAGCCAUACCGCGUGGGUGAAGAAGGCCUUCGGGUUGUAAAGCCCUUUUGUUGGGAAAGAAAAGCAGCAGGUUAAUACCCCGCUGUUCUGACGGUACCCAAAGAAUAAGCACCGGCUAACUUCGUG